UAGGGAAUCUUCCGCAAUGGACGCAAGUCUGACGGAGCAACGCCGCGUGAGUGAAGAAGGAUUUCGGUUCGUAAAACUCUGUUGUUAGAGAAGAACAGCGCAUAGAGUAACUGUUAUGCGUGUGACGGUAUCUAACCAGAAAGCCACGGCUAACUACGUGCCAGCAGCCGCGGUAAUACGUAGGUGGCAAGCGUUGUCCGGAUUUAUUGGGCGUAAAGCGAGCGCAGGCGGUCAAUUAAGUCUGAUGUGAAAGCCCCCGGCUCAACCGGGGAGGGUCAUUGGAAACUGGUUGACUUGAGUGCAGAAGAGGAGAGUGGAAUUCCAUGUGUAGCGGUGAAAUGCGUAGAUAUAUGGAGGAACACCAGUGGCGAAGGCGACUCUCUGGUCUGUAAAUGACGCUGAGGCUCGAAAGCGUGGGUAGCAAACAGG
This 429-nucleotide ribosomal RNA is filed under the name Bacteroidota bacterium. RNAcentral describes it as "Bacteroidetes bacterium partial 16S ribosomal RNA". It matches the Rfam family "Bacterial small subunit ribosomal RNA", at positions 355 to 776 of the family's 1533-position model. Lineage: Bacteria; Pseudomonadati; Bacteroidota. The record is from RNAcentral.